CGUUCCAAGACGCUUCCUUUGCUCUUCCGCAGCCCCAAAGGUAUUCUCUUUAUCUAUCUAUCUAUCUCACUUCUACACUCUGCGCUGUAAGGACAGUAAAAUUGCUAUGUGUGUAGUGAAUCCAUGUGAACUCUGGGCAGUUCCACCGCAAGCCCUUUUCUCCACACACAUUGUUGGUGAAAAACCAGUUCUUGUUCGUGAUUUCAUUCAUUCUACACUAUAUGACCCUAGACAUGGUUAUUUCGCUCAAAGAUCGAGGCCAGUUGGAGUGCUUCAGAAAGCCACUAAGUUCAAUCAUUGAGGGUCUUUGAUUUGAGGUUGGACUGCAGCUAUCAACAAUGUCGAAUUCACGAAAUCAUGUAAGACCCAAGGCUCUGCAUCCCAGUACAAGCAUACCAGCAAUGAGGAGUCAUACCAAUAUAUUGUAGGUAGGGCUUGAAAGGAGUUCUGUUGGGCAUUGGUGGCUGG
Molecule: long non-coding RNA, 468 nt
Organism: Rosa chinensis
Lineage: Eukaryota; Viridiplantae; Streptophyta; Magnoliopsida; Rosales; Rosaceae
Exons: 4
Source: RefSeq, a predicted model, not a curated record